CGGGGUGAGUAAUGUCUGGGAAACUGCCUGAUGGAGGGGGAUAACUGCUGGAAACGGUAGCUAAUACCGCAUAACGUCACAAGACCAAAGAGGGGGACCUUCGGGCCUCUUGCCAUCGGAUGUGCCCAGAUGGGAUUAGCUAGUAGGUGGGGUAACGGCUCACCUAGGCGACGAUCCCUAGCUGGUCUGAGAGGAUGACCAGCCACACUGGAACUGAGACACGGUCCAG
This 229-nucleotide ribosomal RNA is filed under the name uncultured bacterium. RNAcentral describes it as "partial 16S ribosomal RNA". It matches the Rfam family "Bacterial small subunit ribosomal RNA", at positions 104 to 334 of the family's 1533-position model. The record is from RNAcentral.